GGCGGGGUGGAGAAGGUGGUUAUCUCGUUUGGCUCAUGACCAAAAGAUCGCAGGGUUCGACUCCCUGCCCCCGCCACCA
This 79-nucleotide transfer RNA is filed under the name Chloroflexota bacterium. RNAcentral's name for it is "Chloroflexi bacterium tRNA-Met". It matches the Rfam family "tRNA". From Rfam's summary of the family: Transfer RNA (tRNA) molecules are approximately 80 nucleotides in length. Their secondary structure includes four short double-helical elements and three loops (D, anti-codon, and T loops). Further hydrogen bonds mediate the characteristic L-shaped molecular structure. tRNAs have two regions of fundamental functional importance: the anti-codon, which is responsible for specific mRNA codon recognition, and the 3' end, to which the tRNAs corresponding amino acid is attached (by aminoacyl-tRNA synthetases). tRNAs cope with the degeneracy of the genetic code in two manners: having more than one tRNA (with a specific anti-codon) for a particular amino acid; and 'wobble' base-pairing, i.e. permitting non-standard base-pairing at the 3rd anti-codon position. The record is from RNAcentral. Lineage: Bacteria; Bacillati; Chloroflexota.